GGAUUAGAUACCCUGGUAGUCCACGCCGUAAACGGUGGGUGCUAGGUGUGAGCGGUAUUCCACGCCGUUCGUGCCGCAGCUAACGCAUUAAGCACCCCGCCUGGGGAGUACGGCCGCAAGGCUAAAACUCAAAGGAAUUGACGGGGGCCCGCACAAGCAGCGGAGCAUGUGGCUUAAUUCGACGCAACGCGAAGAACCUUACCAAGGCUUGACAUACACCGAAAAACUCGCAGAGAUGUGGGGUCCGCAAGGGCGGUGUACAGGUGGUGCAUGGUUGUCGUCAGCUCGUGUCGUGAGAUGUUGGGUUAAGUCCCGCAACGAGCGCAACCCUCGUUCUAUGUUGCCAGCGUGUGAUGGCGGGGACUCAUAGGAGACUGCCGGGGUCAACUCGG
Molecule: ribosomal RNA, 392 nt
Filed under: uncultured bacterium
Lineage: Bacteria
Description: bacterial SSU rRNA
Rfam family: Bacterial small subunit ribosomal RNA
Source: RNAcentral